UUAUCGGAACGGUAUGUCGCGCAGCUACGCCGUCUGGGAUAAUGGCUGAAAGCCUCUUAAGCCAGAAGCCCAUCUAGAAAGUGAUGCACGUGAUGUUGGACCGAUACGAAUAAUCAUACUCAAAAGGUCCGCUUCAUAGGUAACCCAAUGUAGAAGACAUUGUGUGAACGAAGGUACUGUAAGCAGUGGAGUGGCAUUACGUCCACGACCUGUUGAGGUUCAGCUUCGCUUCUAGGUUUCC
Molecule: non-coding RNA, 241 nt
Organism: Trichomonas vaginalis G3
Lineage: Eukaryota; Parabasalia; Trichomonadida; Trichomonadidae
Source: Rfam